This 1270-nucleotide long non-coding RNA is filed under the name Felis catus (domestic cat). Its description in RNAcentral is "lncRNA (ENSFCAG00000052243.1)". The record is from RNAcentral. Lineage: Eukaryota; Metazoa; Chordata; Mammalia; Carnivora; Felidae.
AGCACACGGCCAGCGGCUUUCCUCCAGCCCGGCACUUUGUGACAUAGACUUCAAAUGUGGCGCCUCUCUUGUCCUGCCCCACCCCGACGCGUCCAGAACAAGCUGUCUCUUAGCAUUGGGGAUCAUCUCCCAUUCCCCGGGGGAAGUCAUGCCCAGAUGGAACGGCACCCCGCCUUCUCCAGGGCGGCCCAGACCCUGCGAAUACUGGGAUGCGUCAACGGGAAUGUGGAUCUGAAGAACAGAAUGCUGAUGAUCCCCAGGAGGGUCUGAAGGUUAACGGGGGACUGGAGAGAUGAAGCCGGGAGCCUCCCGCCUCCUGCUGUGUGUCCCUGGCAAGUUGCUUGGCCUCUCUGAGCCUUGUUUCGUGCAUCUGUUGAGUGUGAAUGCAAAUACUGGUGCUCAAUAGGUGCUUAGCUCCCGGCUGUUGGACGAGAGGCUGGGAGAGGUGUUGCAGGUGGAGUCUCGGCGGGCAGGGGAACCGCUCAAGACCAAUUCUGUUGCUCUCUUCUUGGCCAGGACAUGUAGCACACAGUAGGUGCCUCAUAAAACCUUGCCGACCUGUUUGGGUCCAAGACUCCUGAAUCUAAGGCUUCCUUUUCCCUUUUCUUUAAAAAAAAAAAAGUUUUUUUAAUGUUUAUUUUUGAGACAGAGAGAGACAGAGCAUGAACGGGGAGGGUCAGAGAGGGGGAGACGCAGAAUCUGAAGCAGGUUCCAGUCUCUGAGCUGUCAGCACAGAGCCUGACACGGGGCUCGAACUCACGGACCGCGAGAUCAUGGCCUGAGCCGACGUUGGAGGCUCAACCGACUGAGCCACCCAGGCUCCCCUCCUUUUCCCUUUUGACUUGUCUUCCAGCCUCACCUGCGCCUCCCUGGUGGGGCCACCGGGCAGGCAGGCACACUCAGUGCUGAAGUGUAGAUUCUGAAGCCUGGGUUCAAGUCCUGACUUGGCACACAGUAGGUGCCACAGAACGACAUUGCCAUAACACUGAUUCGUACUGUUAGCGUGGGUUUCAGGCUCCAGAUUCUUCUGGGGGCUGCAGCAAGCAGACCUCUCCAUGCCGAUCAGCCCCUGCCCCAUCCCACAGUGUGGGGUCAAGGCAGAGGUUUCAGCCCGGGGCAGUUUGCCCCCCCCCCGCCCCCCCAACCCUCCCCAGGGGACAUCUGGCAAUGUCUGGAGACAUUUUUGGUUGUCAUGCCUGGGGGAGGUGAUACAGGCAUCUGGCGGGUAGAGGCUAAAGGGGUGCUAAGCGCCCUACAGUGCCCGGGACCU